RNAcentral lists this long non-coding RNA (563 nucleotides) under Salmo salar (Atlantic salmon). Its description in RNAcentral is "lncRNA (ENSSSAG00000093525.1, ENSSSAG00020070833.1)". Lineage: Eukaryota; Metazoa; Chordata; Actinopteri; Salmoniformes; Salmonidae. The record is from RNAcentral.
GGCUUUUUUAUGGAGGUUUUGGAGCAGUGGCUUCUUCCUUGCUGAGCGGCCUUUCAGGCUAUGUCGAUAUAGGACUAGUUUUACUGUGGAUAUAGAUACUUCUGUACCUGUUUCCACCAGCAUCUUCACAAGGUCUUUUGCUGUUGUUCUGGGAUUGAUAUGCACUUUUCGCACCAAAAUGAACGUGGUACCUUCAGUCGUUUGGAAAUUGCUCCCAAGGAUGAACCAGAUUGUGGAGGUCUACAACAUUUUUUCGGAGGUCUUGGCUAAUUUCUUUUGAUUUUCCCAUGAUGUCAAGCAAAGAGGCACUGAGUUUGAAGGCAAGAGGGGAGAACGAUGACAUCACAAAUUCCCAUCAAACCAACUCCUUGAAGUGUGCAGUUGUGUCUAAAAAAAGAAAAUGUACUUUACUCUGUUUAUACUUGGGAUGUCGCUUUCCAACAUUAAACGUAAAAACAACGCUGGAGGAUGUCUUUAACACAAAGGCAUUGUUUGUAAUUGAUGUCUUAGUGUUGAAGUGUGCCCAUGGCUAUCCCGUCAAUAAAUAAAAAACAAGGAAAUCA